This 551-nucleotide ribosomal RNA is filed under the name Russula cf. katarinae VH-2016. RNAcentral describes it as "mitochondrial SSU rRNA". It matches the Rfam family "Bacterial small subunit ribosomal RNA", at positions 359 to 952 of the family's 1533-position model. Lineage: Eukaryota; Fungi; Basidiomycota; Agaricomycetes; Russulales; Russulaceae. The record is from RNAcentral.
GAAUAUUAGUCAAUGCUCGAAAGAGUGAACUAGCUAACUGAAAUCAAUAAUAAAAAAUUGAUAACAUAAGGGAAAAUAAUGAUAUUACCUUAUUAUUAGUGUCGUCCAAAACUGGUGCCAGAAGACUCGGUAAGGCCAGAGACAUAAACGUUAAUCGUCUUAAUCAGGCGUAAAGGGUUUGUAGGCGGCUUUAAAAUUUACUAAAAAAUAAAUAAAAUAAUAAGUAAAGAAUAAAAGCUAGAAUCAAAUAGAGGAUAUAUGAAAGAAUGCUUAGAGUAGGUCUGAUAUCCUUAGAUACUAAGUAGAAUAUUAAAGGCGAAAGCUUUUUUCCAUUAAUGAUUGACGCUCAGAAACGAAGGUGAGGAUAGGAAAUAGGAUUAGAUACCCAGAAUACCCCUCUCUGUCAACGAUGAAUGGUAGUUAUUAGUAAAAAUUUAUUAAUGGCAAUGUUAACACGAUAACCAUUCCGCCUUGUGAGUACAACUGCAAAGUUGAAAACAAAAAAAUUAGUCGGUUUCGGAGCAAACGAAGUGAAGCAUGUUAUUUAAUUC